RNAcentral lists this ribosomal RNA (482 nucleotides) under uncultured bacterium. RNAcentral describes it as "partial 16S ribosomal RNA". It matches the Rfam family "Bacterial small subunit ribosomal RNA", at positions 30 to 507 of the family's 1533-position model. The record is from RNAcentral.
AUUGAACGCUGGCGGCAUGCCUUACACAUGCAAGUCGAACGGUAACAGGUCUUCGGAUGCUGACGAGUGGCGAACGGGUGCGUAAUACAUCGGAACGUGCCCAGACGUGGGGGAUAACGAGGCGAAAGCUUUGCUAAUACCGCAUACGAUCUAAGGAUGACAGCAGGGGACCGCAAGGCCUUGCGCGUUUGGAGCGGCCGAUGGCAGAUUAGGUCGUUGGUGGGAUAAAAGCUUACCAAGCCGACGAUCUGUAGCUGGUCUGAGAGGACGACCAGCCACACUGGGACUGAAACACGGCCCAGAAUCCUACGGGAGGCAGCAGUGGGGAAUUUUGGACAAUGGGCGAAAGCCUGAUCCAGCAAUGCCGCGUGCAGGAUGAAGGCCUUCGGGUUGUAAACUGCUUUUGUACGGAACGAAAAGGCUCUGGCUAAUGCCUGGGGCACAUGACGGUACCGUAAGAAUAAGCACCGGCUAACUACGUG